Mycena filopes is the source of this 85-nucleotide non-coding RNA. Lineage: Eukaryota; Fungi; Basidiomycota; Agaricomycetes; Agaricales; Mycenaceae. The record is from the annotation of a GenBank genome assembly.
GACACUAUAGCUCAGUGGCUUAGAGCGUAUGAUUGCAAGGACUGCUAUCAUCAUAAGGUCCCGCGUUCGAACCGCGGUAGUGUCU